AAAUUGAAGAGUUUGAUCAUGGCUCAGAUUGAACGCUGGCGGCAGGCCUAACACAUGCAAGUCGAACGGUAACAGGAAGAAGCUUGCUUCUUUGCUGACGAGUGGCGGACGGGUGAGUAAUGUCUGGGAAACUGCCUGAUGGAGGGGGAUAACUACUGGAAACGGUAGCUAAUACCGCAUAACGUCGCAAGACCAAAGAGGGGGACCUUCGGGCCUCUUGCCAUCGGAUGUGCCCAGAUGGGAUUAGCUAGUAGGUGGGGUAACGGCUCACCUAGGCGACGAUCCCUAGCUGGUCUGAGAGGAUGACCAGCCACACUGGAACUGAGACACGGUCCAGACUCCUACGGGAGGCAGCAGUGGGGAAUAUUGCACAAUGGGCGCAAGCCUGAUGCAGCCAUGCCGCGUGUAUGAAGAAGGCCUUCGGGUUGUAAAGUACUUUCAGCGGGGAGGAAGGGAGUAAAGUUAAUACCUUUGCUCAUUGACGUUACCCGCAGAAGAAGCACCGGCUAACUCCGUGCCAGCAGCCGCGGUAAUACGGAGGGUGCAAGCGUUAAUCAGAAUUACUGGGCGUAAAGCGCACGCAGGCGGUUUGUUAAGUCAGAUGUGAAAUCCCCGGGCUCAACCUGGGAACUGCAUCUGAUACUGGCAAGCUUGAGUCUCGUAGAGGGGGGUGGAAUUCCAGGUGUAGCGGUGAAAUGCGUAGAGAUCUGGAGGAAUACCGGUGGCGAAGGCGGCCCCCUGGACGAAGACUGACGCUCAGGUGCGAAAGCGUGGGGAGCAAACAGGAUUAGAUACCCUGGUAGUCCACGCUGUAAACGAUGUCGACUUGGAGGUUGUGCCCUUGAGGCGUGGCUUCCGGAGCUAACGCGUUAAGUCGACCGCCUGGGGAGUACGGCCGCAAGGUUAAAACUCAAAUGAAUUGACGGGGGCCCGCACAAGCGGUGGAGCAUGUGGUUUAAUUCGAUGCAACGCGAAGAACCUUACCUGGUCUUGACAUCCACAGAACUUUCCAGAGAUGGAUUGGUGCCUUCGGGAACUGUGAGACAGGUGCUGCAUGGCUGUCGUCAGCUCGUGUUGUGAAAUGUUGGGUUAAGUCCCGCAACGAGCGCAACCCUUAUCCUUUGUUGCCAGCGGUCCGGCCGGGAACUCAAAGGAGACUGCCAGUGAUAAACUGGAGGAAGGUGGGGAUGACGUCAAGUCAUCAUGGCCCUUACGACCAGGGCUACACACGUGCUACAAUGGCGCAUACAAAGAGAAGCGACCUCGCGAGAGCAAGCGGACCUCAUAAAGUGCGUCGUAGUCCGGAUUGGAGUCUGCAACUCGACUCCAUGAAGUCGGAAUCGCUAGUAAUCGUGGAUCAGAAUGCCACGGUGAAUACGUUCCCGGGCCUUGUACACACCGCCCGUCACACCAUGGGAGUGGGUUGCAAAAGAAGUAGGUAGCUUAACCUUCGGGAGGGCGCUUACCACUUUGUGAUUCAUGACUGGGGUGAAGUCGUAACAAGGUAACCGUAGGGGAACCUGCGGUUGGAUCACCUCCUUACCUUAAAGAAGC
This 1554-nucleotide ribosomal RNA is filed under the name Escherichia coli. RNAcentral's name for it is "bacterial SSU rRNA". It matches the Rfam family "Bacterial small subunit ribosomal RNA". Lineage: Bacteria; Pseudomonadati; Pseudomonadota; Gammaproteobacteria; Enterobacterales; Enterobacteriaceae. The record is from RNAcentral.